AUAUAACUAUAGGUAGCUAUGUACAUAUAUAAAACCAUCUAUGUAUUGUGAUAGAGUUUUCAAACCCUAGAACUGGAGUUACAGUCUGGGAAAUUGCUGGAUCCUCAACCACAGUUGGGGAGGGGCCCCAGGAGAUGUUCUGGAAUCUUGGGAGAGGAAGAGUUUCUGUCAGAGAGAGGCAGUUAGCUCUCAAUCCUGAGACAGCCUAAGGAAAGGUCUAUUCAAGACUUUGUUCCUGAGGAAAGAUUUACAUCUUUCUCCUGGUGAUUGGACAUCCUUCCCCCCAUCGAUUCCCAACUGGACUGGCCAGUGUGAGAAGACAUGAAGCAGCUGACAAGAUCACCUGACAACUCCUGGUGCCCUGGGUCUGGAUGGUGCCCAGGGGUGCCAAGACCAGGGCCAUCCAAGCCUGAAUCUCUCAGGACCCAAGCCUGCCAAAGACUGGGUUCCCCAACUUGAGGACAGAGGUCACCAAUAACAUAUGCAUCUAAAACAUUAGUGAAUCAAUUCAACUCACUAACUCAUGCAAUUGGAUUACAUCAGUGGUACAGAUAAUCCUAAACAAUAAAUAAUCAAAAGAUGAAUAUUAUUUGACUUUAAAGAACUGUGCCCAUCAUAUAAAAAAAACAACAACUACUAGUUCCUUGGCCCCUUCAUGUCAAAAAGAGAAGAAUAAAAGAAUCAAUAUCAGAGCACAGGAGUACUUUUAAUGGAUCAGACAGAUAUUAAGAGCUAAAAUGUUGCCACAUAUAUCACUACAACAAAAGAUAAUGGAAAAUAUUUAAUUCAAGGGCUGUUCAGAUGAAGUAACCAGUCAAUGUACCUCUACUACACCAACUCAAGAUUUUCUAAAUCCAGCAAAAAUGGAAAAAGACAAUGACAGUACAGGGCCAAAUGCAGAUGAGAAGAUAAGUAGCUGAUUUUGAAAGCAAAGGACCUAACAUAAGACAGUCAUUCUCCCUCCCCAGUGUAGGACUGAAUGCAUUGCUUAGUGAUUGCUUGAUUCCCCUCAGCUCGAUGAAUGGAAUAUCUGCUUUGUUCUAUGAAAUUGAUUCAUAGCCAAAGGCCUUUAAUACACAUCUGCUAUGAAUAUGACUUUAGCACAUUAGUGCUGUUUAUAUUAUUCCCUUUAUUCUUAAUACUAAUGACCAGAAAUGCAAAUGGCUUCAAAGAUGCCCCAUACUAAUUCCAAAAAUAUUGGGUACAAGGCACUAGAAAUUUAAACAGUGUUUGCUUCUACCAUGCACUGAAUUAUCAUUUGAAUCCAAAGGAUAUCAGUUCUGUAGUGAAGUGACUGACAUGCUCUGUUUAUUCCUGGUCGUCACGAUUUAUAUUAGAUCAGUAAACUAGUGGUCUAUUUAUGCGUGGGUUUUUUGUAUAAUUAUGUCUCACUUAUAUGCUCAGUCCAUAUAGGAAAAUCAUGAUUAGAUGCUUGUGUAUACAAUGUAUGUACACAAGAAAACAUUUCUUUUGGUCUGGCCAUAUCAUUUUGUGCCAAUCUGAAUGUUAACAUGACAGCGUUUUUUCCUGUCAAGGGAUUCAGGGUUAAUGUGGCUGUGUAAACAUCACGAGACCUGUGUUUUGGAAAAGCUUAGACAUUCAUGCUGUGUGCGGAAAUUAGAGAAUUGUCGUCCAGGGAGACUCCUUUACACAUAAACACUCUGAAAAUCACUUCUCAUGGUGUGGGGUUCAACUUUUCUAUCAUAUUUCCUGUUUCCUGCAUGUGAGAAUCAUCUCAUACACAUUACAAAGUUAACCCGAGUACUUACAUAAGACAAAACAUGAGUUGAACUUGGAAAUGGGAGAGUGAGAUAGAAUAUUAGAUCAUUAGUUUUGGAGGAGCUAAAUGCAACUGACAUAUUAUAGUAACUCCAAAGACUAACAGGAUGGCACUUGCAUAAAUAGAGGGAGAAAAGAAAAUAGAGAGUACAGAGAAUAAAGGAGGGUGGGCAGAGAGAAGGGGAAUCAGACAUAAGCAGGUCUUUAGCUCCUACAUUAGGUUAACUAUGGCUGAAGACAUAACAAAAUCUUACACAGUUCUAAAUAAUCUCAUACAGUUCUAAAACCAGAGUUUGGUCAGGUUUUUUUUUUUUAAUCUUAUAUGUCCACAGCAGAGUAAAACAAAACUUCUAAUACAAUGCAAUGGGGGAUAAAGACCUUCAGUUUAUUGGCAAGAGAGAGGGCAAAGAUAAUCAGUUCUUCCAUUUUCCCUCCCACCACCACCAGUGUCUAAAAUUGCCUUUUCUAGACUUAUUAAAGCCCCAAAGCCAUUCACGUGGCCUGGAAACUAGUUGCCAGCAACAUGACAAAAGUUGAAAAGAACUCAUCCAUCCUAAAUUUAUAAGGGAUAAAGCAUGGGGGACUUUCUAUUGGGGAAAAAAAAAGUUGGGGUAGAAAAAGAGAGGGAAACCAGUAAGAGAAAAGUACAGUACUAUCUAUCUAAGCAACACUUUUGUGUUUCAGUCAUUGGUGGCAAGGUCUUAAUAACCAAGUUGAAAACAUGGUCUAAGGAAUGAUGAUCUAGGUCUGUGUCAUUAAUGAGUUUUAACACUUUCCCAAGGGGGAAAAAGUAGCCAGAACAGAAAAUAGCUACAAUUAAUGGUCAAAGCAGCUCAUUAGAGAAAGAACAUUAAUAGCCUCAGAGUCAGAGAGUGAAGGGAAACAGUUAAUAUUCAAAGGAUGAUAACUUUAGAAAUUGACAUGAGUGGCAGUGGCAAAUAUGAACUGCAGUAGCAUGCCAAGGGGACUGUGAGAGGCAGAGCCAAGAAAUAAUAAGGCACAACAAAUCAUUGGGAGGCUGAAUCAUGAACGAUGUUCCAGGCACAACUCAAUUACCUUGGAAGAUGAGAAACCCAAGGACCAUCAUGGUAAUCUGUGGGAAAAUAUAGCCUUUCGUGUCUGGACUUAGGACUUGAAUCUAUACCAUCUCUUGUGUAUAGUUGGAAAUUCUUGAACCCCUAAAAACUACAUUUCCUAAAAUUCCUUUUCCCUUUUCUUGUACCCUCACAUUUACAUAAUUUUAUUUAAGUUUGCUGUGACUCCUCCCUCUUCCUCUGCUUCCUUGUGGUCAAGUUAAGCAAGUUUUACUCUAGUUGUUAUUAAUAAACU
Molecule: long non-coding RNA, 3108 nt
Organism: Monodelphis domestica (gray short-tailed opossum)
Lineage: Eukaryota; Metazoa; Chordata; Mammalia; Didelphimorphia; Didelphidae
Source: RefSeq, a predicted model, not a curated record